RNAcentral lists this long non-coding RNA (587 nucleotides) under Nicotiana benthamiana. RNAcentral describes it as "long non-coding RNA (NBEN_LNC008993)". Lineage: Eukaryota; Viridiplantae; Streptophyta; Magnoliopsida; Solanales; Solanaceae. The record is from RNAcentral.
AUAAUGUCUUACCACGCCUCUUUCUCUCUUGUGAGCAUUCUGGUGGCCUCCCAACGCCUGUGAACUGUAGAAUUUCCGCUUGCAGAAGUUACAUGAAAAAGCCUUGGCAGAAGUAGGUAUACGUGACUCAGAUUCUUUAGAUGUUAAAGGCAAGUUCCUUCCUAAGCUCAAAUUCAACCAUUCUCCUUGAUCAAGCACUGAAUUUCCCUGAUUGCUAUCUACAGCACUAAUCAUUCUGAUCGCUAUUGUAAUUGAGCAGAAGCUGCCUUUUCUUGUCCCCCAAUUUUCAAUGAAGAGCCAGCUUAAAAUUUUGUGGAUGUACAAAGCUGCUUUAUGUGGAUACUACUCGAAAGGACUCUUAAAGGACCUCCAGACAGAGAGGCAAGGAAUAAAAAUGAGAUCAGAGGAGGUGAAGGUGAGAUCAUAAAACUGUGAUUUAUCAUAUCUAUUUUCACUGUCCGCUCCAGCUGAUGCUUGGUAUUCUGGGGGACAAUGCUUAGAUCAUGUUUCACUGGAGUCAUUGUCAAGUCUAGAUUCCCCACUGAUUUCUCUCUUGUCUGUUCAACUAGUUCUACCUCUAAUUAGGU